RNAcentral lists this ribosomal RNA (483 nucleotides) under uncultured bacterium. RNAcentral describes it as "partial 16S ribosomal RNA". It matches the Rfam family "Bacterial small subunit ribosomal RNA", at positions 30 to 507 of the family's 1533-position model. The record is from RNAcentral.
UUGAACGCUGGCGGCAGGCCUAACCCAUGCCGGUCGAGCGGAUGAAGGGAGCUUGCUCCUGGAUUCAGCGGCGGACGGGUGAGUAAUGCCUAGGAAUCUGCCUGGUAGUGGGGGAUAACGUCCGGAAACGGGCGCUAAUACCGCAUACGUCCUGAGGGAGAAAGUGGGGGAUCUUCGGACCUCACGCUAUCAGAUGAGCCUAGGUCGGAUUAGCUAGUUGGUGGGGUAAAGGCCUACCAAGGCGACGAUCCGUAACUGGUCUGAGAGGAUGAUCAGUCACACUGGAACUGAGACACGGUCCAGACUCCUACGGGAGGCAGCAGUGGGGAAUAUUGGACAAUGGGCGAAAGCCUGAUCCAGCCAUGCCGCGUGUGUGAAGAAGGUCUUCGGAUUGUAAAGCACUUUAAGUUGGGAGGAAGGGCAGUAAGUUAAUACCUUGCUGUUUUGACGUUACCAACAGAAUAAGCACCGGCUAACUUCGUG